Molecule: transfer RNA, 70 nt
Filed under: Bunomys penitus (inland hill rat)
Lineage: Eukaryota; Metazoa; Chordata; Mammalia; Rodentia; Muridae
Description: tRNA-Thr
Rfam family: tRNA
About the family: Transfer RNA (tRNA) molecules are approximately 80 nucleotides in length. Their secondary structure includes four short double-helical elements and three loops (D, anti-codon, and T loops).
Source: RNAcentral
GUCCUGAUAGUAUAAAAAUUACUUUGGUCUUGUAAAUCAAAAAUGAAGAAUCAAUUAUCUUCUCAGGACA